UGGUGGAGUGAUUUGUCUGGUUAAUUCCGUUAACGAACGAGACCCCCGCCUGCUAAAUAGUGUCGGUAAUGCUUCUGCAUUGCCGUUUCUACUUCUUAGAGGGACUUUCGGUGACUAACCGAAGGAAAGUUGGGGGCGAAUAACA
Molecule: ribosomal RNA, 145 nt
Filed under: uncultured eukaryote
Lineage: Eukaryota
Description: partial 18S ribosomal RNA
Rfam family: Eukaryotic small subunit ribosomal RNA
Source: RNAcentral